RNAcentral lists this ribosomal RNA (301 nucleotides) under uncultured bacterium. RNAcentral describes it as "partial 16S ribosomal RNA". It matches the Rfam family "Bacterial small subunit ribosomal RNA", at positions 509 to 809 of the family's 1533-position model. The record is from RNAcentral.
CAGUAGCCACGGUAAUACGUAGGUGGCAAGCGUUGUCCGGAAUUAUUGGGCGUAAAGCGCGCGCAGGCGGAUAGGUCAGUCCGUCUUAAAAGUUCGGGGCUUAACCCCGUGAUGGGAUGGAAACUGCCAAUCUAGAGUAUCGGAGAGGAAAGUGGAAUUCCUAGUGUAGCGGUGAAAUGCGUAGAUAUUAGGAAGAACACCAGUGGCGAAGGCGACUUUCUGGACGAAAACUGACGCUGAGGCGCGAAAGCCAGGGGAGCGAACGGGAUUAGAUACCCCGGUAGUCCCUGUCUCUUAUACA